This 72-nucleotide transfer RNA is filed under the name Ovis aries (sheep). It matches the Rfam family "tRNA". Rfam says of the family: Transfer RNA (tRNA) molecules are approximately 80 nucleotides in length. Their secondary structure includes four short double-helical elements and three loops (D, anti-codon, and T loops). The record is from Rfam by way of RNAcentral. Lineage: Eukaryota; Metazoa; Chordata; Mammalia; Artiodactyla; Bovidae.
UCCCUGGUAGCUCAGAGGUUAAAGCGUCUGCCUGCAAUGCGGGAUACCUGGGUUCGAACCCUGGGUUGAGAA